GCGCGCAAAUUACCCACUCUCAGAAUUUGGAGGAGGUAGUGACGAGAAAUAACGAGGCUAACUUCUUUCGAGGCUAGCCAUCGGAAUGGGUACAAUUUAAACCCUUUAACGAGUAUCUAUGAGAGGGCAAGUCUGGUGCCAGCAGCCGCGGUAAUUCCAGCUCUCAAAAUGCAUAGAAUUAUUGCUGCGGUUAAAAAGCUCGUAGUUGGAUCUGCAGCCGGAGCUCCGGUCUAUCUACGGAUAUGUACUGGAUGUCUUCGGCUUUCUGACAGUGUUCGGCUCUGUGCCUCUAACCAGGUGUGGAUGUCCGAUGCUGUAAGUUUACUUUGAAUAAAUCAGAGUGCUCUAAACAGGCGUUUUGCUUGAAUGAUUGUGCAUGGAAUAAUAGAAGAGGAUUUCGGUUCUAUUUUAUUGGUUUUAUAGACUGAGAUAAUGGUUAACAGAGACAAACGGGA
Molecule: ribosomal RNA, 455 nt
Filed under: Nematoda environmental sample
Lineage: Eukaryota; Metazoa; Nematoda
Description: SSU rRNA
Rfam family: Eukaryotic small subunit ribosomal RNA
Source: RNAcentral